Molecule: non-coding RNA, 46 nt
Organism: Cathartes aura (turkey vulture)
Lineage: Eukaryota; Metazoa; Chordata; Aves; Accipitriformes; Cathartidae
Source: Rfam
CCAACGGCUCUUUUAAGAGCCACCCAGAUUUUCUCAGAAAGGGCUG